AGAAAAUAGAUACCCCGGUGGUCCACGCCGUAAACGAUGGAUGCUAGAUGUUUCCGGUAUUGACCCCGGAGGUGUCGUAGCUAAACGCGUUAAAGCAUCCCGCCUGGGGAGUACGGCCGCAAGGCUAAAACUCAAAGGAAUUGACGGGGCCCGGCACAAGCGGUGGAGCAUGUGGUUCAACUCGACGCAACGCGAAGAACCUUACCUGGGUUGGAACCCUCCAGAAGUCCGCAGAGAUGUGGAUGUGCCCGCAAGGGAGCUGGAUGUCCAGGUGCUGCAUGGCUGUCGUCAGCUCGUGUCGUGAGAUGUUGGGUUAAGUCCCGCAACGAGCGCAACCCUUGUCGUUAGUUGCCAGCGGUUCGGCCGGGCACUCUAACGAGACUGCCGGUGUUAAACCGGAGGAAGGUGGGGAUGACGUCAAGUCCUCAUGGCCCUUAUGCCCAGGGCUACACACGUGCUACAAUGGCCGGUACAAAGGGUCGCAAACCCGCGAGGGCCAGCUAAUCCCAAAAAAACCGGCCUCAGUUCAGAUUGAAGUCUGCAACUCGACUUC
Molecule: ribosomal RNA, 553 nt
Filed under: uncultured bacterium
Lineage: Bacteria
Description: bacterial SSU rRNA
Rfam family: Bacterial small subunit ribosomal RNA
Source: RNAcentral